UAUUUGUGCGAGAAAGCAGAAAGCAGG
RNAcentral lists this small RNA (27 nucleotides) under Bombyx mori (domestic silkworm). Its description in RNAcentral is "ovarian small RNA-24338". Lineage: Eukaryota; Metazoa; Arthropoda; Insecta; Lepidoptera; Bombycidae. The record is from RNAcentral.